UGGGCUGUAGCCAAGCGGUAAGGCAAUAGGUUUUGAUCCUAUCAUGCGCAGGUUCGAAUCCUGCCAGCCCAACCA
RNAcentral lists this transfer RNA (75 nucleotides) under Rickettsiales bacterium. Its description in RNAcentral is "tRNA-Gln". It matches the Rfam family "tRNA". Rfam says of the family: Transfer RNA (tRNA) molecules are approximately 80 nucleotides in length. RNAcentral also lists the same sequence under 1 other name. The record is from RNAcentral. Lineage: Bacteria; Pseudomonadati; Pseudomonadota; Alphaproteobacteria; Rickettsiales.